AGAGUUUGAUCCUGGCUCAGGAUAAACGCUGGCGGCGUGCCUAACACAUGCAAGUCGAACGAUCCCGCAAGGGAGAGUGGCGGAAGGGUGAGUAACACGUAGGAAUCUACCCCGACGGAGGGAACAACCUAUCGAAAGAUGGGCUAAUACCCAAAAGGAUCCGUAAUGAUCAGAGUCGAAAGGCCUGUCGGGAUGAGCCUGCGGCGCAUCAGCUAGAUGGUGAGGUAAAAGCUUACCAUGGCUACGACGCGUAGGGGGUCUGAGAGGACGUCCCCCCACACUGGAACUGAAACACGGUCCAGACGCCUACGGGUGGCAGCAGUGAGGAAUAUUCGUCAAUGGGGGAAACCCUGAACGAGCAACGCCGCGUGAAGGAUGAAGGCCCUCGGGUUGUAAACUUCUUUUAAGGGAGAAGAGAAAGGACGGUAUCCCUUGAAUAAGUCACGGCUAACUACGUGCCAGCAGCCGCGGUAAUACGUAGGUGACGAGCGUUAUCCGGAUUUACUGGGCGUAAAGCGCUUGUAGGUGGUUGCGUAAGUUGGACGUUAAAUCUCUGGGCUCAACUCAGAGAGGCCGUUCAAUACUGCGUGGCUAGAGGAUGUCAGAGGAAGGUGGAAUUCCAGGUGUAGUAGUGAAAUGCGUAGAUAUCUGGAGGAACACCCAUGGCGAAGCAGCCUUCUGGGGCAUUCCUGACACUGAGAAGCGAAAGCUAGGGAGCAAACAGGAUUAGAAACCCUGGUAGUCCUAGCUGUAAACGAUGAAUGCUAGGUGUUGGCGGCUUUAACCCGUCUGUGCCGAAG
This 800-nucleotide ribosomal RNA is filed under the name uncultured bacterium. RNAcentral's name for it is "bacterial SSU rRNA". It matches the Rfam family "Bacterial small subunit ribosomal RNA", at positions 8 to 851 of the family's 1533-position model. The record is from RNAcentral.